GUUCCAUGGAGCCAUGUGGUGUGGUGCUGAAGGCAGCAUUCAAACACAGCCGAAACAGGGCCCGUGCCUUCAAACAGGGCUGGUUUGGAAAACCUGGGGAGAAACUGCUCUUGAGAGGAGCCCUGGAGCAGCAUCCUGCCCUUGUCCAGCCAUGGAGAUGGCCAGAGCUGCAGUGGCAUGGAGCUGGGAUGGGUUAUCCCUGGGACCUCAGGGACAACCUGGGUGUGAAGAUCCCAGCUUGGCUGCAAGCCUGGGACAUGGAGCACUGCCCUGUGAUGCACCACGGCUCCCCAGGCAAGCAGAGAUGUCACCAUGCACCGUGGUUUAUGGUCUCAGCCCUGCACCGCCUCGAUGCUGCCAGGUCCAUGCCCUGGAAAUGUAGUUUCAUCUGGACAAACAGCAUUUCUUAUUGCUGUUGCUAAUGUGGUAUCAGUGCACUGCAACAUAGAUAUUUUAAUAGCACAUAGUUCUUUUGAUGAAGCGGCUUUAACAAACUCCUUCCCAACAUUGUUUAUGUCAUAUUUGCUCAUUUAUGCAUGCAAUAAAUUAAAUGAAAGCUCUUAAACAUUUAGGAAGUAACAAGAAGUGCCCCUGUGUAUUAACCCCCAGCAGGCACUGCUUUCCCUUGCACAUCCACGCACUGCUGGGUGUUUCCUGCUCUGCCCGUGUGGCAGUGCAGGCUGGAGGGGGUUCUGCCAGCCCCACAUUCCCAGGAAUGCCGGCAGCUGUGACAACCACUGCAGGUUUAUUUUUACCAUCCCGACAAUGCCGCUGCUUAGCUCAGCUUUUAUUAGACAUAAAUAAUGCUUUUAAAGCGAAGCUGGCACCGGGGCAGCAAA
Molecule: long non-coding RNA, 839 nt
Organism: Pezoporus occidentalis (night parrot)
Lineage: Eukaryota; Metazoa; Chordata; Aves; Psittaciformes; Psittacidae
Exons: 3
Source: RefSeq, a predicted model, not a curated record